UGCAUGAAGUUGGAAUCGCUAGUAAUCGCGGAUCAGCAUGCCGCGGUGAAUACGUUCCCGGGCCUUGUACACACCGCCCGUCACACCAUGAGAGUCGGGAACACCCGAAGUCCGUAGCCUGACCGCAAGGGGGGCGCGGCCGAAGGUGGGUUCGAUAAUUGGGGUGAAGUCGUAACAAGGUACC
Molecule: ribosomal RNA, 184 nt
Filed under: uncultured bacterium
Lineage: Bacteria
Description: partial 16S ribosomal RNA
Rfam family: Bacterial small subunit ribosomal RNA
Source: RNAcentral